UAACUCUCAACAAUGGAUCUCUAGGCUCUUGCAUCGAUGAAGAACGCAGUGAACUGCGAUAACUGGUGUGAGUUGCACGCAUCUCUAAUCUAACACCAAGCGAAUCAUCGAGUCUUUGAA
RNAcentral lists this ribosomal RNA (120 nucleotides) under Cantharellus guyanensis. RNAcentral describes it as "5.8S ribosomal RNA". It matches the Rfam family "5.8S ribosomal RNA", at positions 1 to 104 of the family's 154-position model. From Rfam's summary of the family: 5.8S ribosomal RNA (5.8S rRNA) is a component of the large subunit of the eukaryotic ribosome. It is transcribed by RNA polymerase I as part of the 45S precursor that also contains 18S and 28S rRNA. The record is from RNAcentral. Lineage: Eukaryota; Fungi; Basidiomycota; Agaricomycetes; Cantharellales; Hydnaceae.